GACGAACGCUGGCGGCGUGCUUAACACAUGCAAGUCGAACGGAAAGGCCCUGCUUGCAGGGUGCUCGAGUGGCGAACGGGUGAGUAACACGUGGGUGAUCUGCCCCUUACUUUUGGAUAAGCCUUGGAAACUGGGUCUAAUACUGGAUAGGACCAUGCUGUAGGUGGUGUGGUGGAAAGAUUAGUUUCGGUAAGGGAUGAGCUCGCGGCCUAUCAGCUUGUUGGUGGGGUAAUGGCCUACCAAGGCGUCGACGGGUAGCCGGCCUGAGAGGGUGGACGGCGACAUUGGGACUGAGAUACGGCGCAGACUACUACGGGAGGCAGCAGUGGGGAAUAUUGCACAAUGGGCGCAAGCCUGAUGCAGCGACGACGCGUGGGGGAUGACGGCCUUCGGGUUGUAAACUCCUUUCAGCCAUGACGAAGCCCUUGUGGUGACGGUAGUGGUAGAAGAAGCACCGGCUAACUACGUG
This 469-nucleotide ribosomal RNA is filed under the name uncultured bacterium. Its description in RNAcentral is "partial 16S ribosomal RNA". It matches the Rfam family "Bacterial small subunit ribosomal RNA", at positions 28 to 507 of the family's 1533-position model. The record is from RNAcentral.